GGAGUGGUGUUUUUUUCUGGAAGAUCUCUUUUAAGCAGGUGGGGGAUUAUGCUAGGAGUGGUUUCUUGUUGCUGCUGUUUAUUGUAUAAUGUAGUAUUGGGCAAGCGUAGCAGGGUUGUUUCCUGUUGCAGGAGAACGAUGGCGGAGUGCUCAAAGAGCAUCCAACAAGAAGCAGUCACUGUAGCCCUGAUGAAGCUAAGUUUCCAUCAAGCAUCUGCUUGUGAUAUACUCUACCAACAAAGUACUCUUCAUUUGCAGAGUGCAUUGAAUGAAAUGGAUUAAAUAAUGGCAAAAGGAACCAAAGAGAAAAAUUUCUGGUAUGUCAUGCCAGUGGUCCCACUUGGAUCAGCUCUUAAUUAUGCAAACAAAAUUUCAACUCU
RNAcentral lists this long non-coding RNA (380 nucleotides) under Numida meleagris (helmeted guineafowl). Its description in RNAcentral is "lncRNA (ENSNMEG00000009795.1)". Lineage: Eukaryota; Metazoa; Chordata; Aves; Galliformes; Numididae. The record is from RNAcentral.